Molecule: ribosomal RNA, 478 nt
Filed under: Acinetobacter baumannii
Lineage: Bacteria; Pseudomonadati; Pseudomonadota; Gammaproteobacteria; Moraxellales; Moraxellaceae
Description: bacterial SSU rRNA
Rfam family: Bacterial small subunit ribosomal RNA
Source: RNAcentral
UCAGAUUGAACGCUGGCGGCAGGCUUAACACAUGCAAGUCGAGCGGGGGAAGGUAGCUUGCUACUGGACCUAGCGGCGGACGGGUGAGUAAUGCUUAGGAAUCUGCCUAUUAGUGGGGGACAACAUCUCGAAAGGGAUGCUAAUACCGCAUACGUCCUACGGGAGAAAGCAGGGGAUCUUCGGACCUUGCGCUAAUAGAUGAGCCUAAGUCGGAUUAGCUAGUUGGUGGGGUAAAGGCCUACCAAGGCGACGAUCUGUAGCGGGUCUGAGAGGAUGAUCCGCCACACUGGGACUGAGACACGGCCCAGACUCCUACGGGAGGCAGCAGUGGGGAAUAUUGGACAAUGGGGGGAACCCUGAUCCAGCCAUGCCGCGUGUGUGAAGAAGGCCUUAUGGUUGUAAAGCACUUUAAGCGAGGAGGAGGCUACUUUAGUUAAUACCUAGAGAUAGUGGACGUACUCGCAGAAUAAGCACCGGC